Molecule: ribosomal RNA, 378 nt
Filed under: uncultured bacterium
Lineage: Bacteria
Description: bacterial SSU rRNA
Rfam family: Bacterial small subunit ribosomal RNA
Source: RNAcentral
UAAUACGUAGGGGGCGAGCGUUGUCCGAAGUUACUGGGCGUAAAGCGCGCGUAGGCGGGGGAUUAAGUGAGAGGUGAAAGGCUGGGGCUCAACCUCAUGCAGUGCCUCUCAUACUGGUCUUCUUGAGGGCGGUAGGGAGAAGUGGAAUGGCUGGUGUAGCGGUGAAAUGCGUAGAUAUCAGUCGGAACACCGGUGGCGAAGGCGGCUUCUUGGGCCGUUCCUGACGCUGAGGCGCGAAAGCUGGGGGAGCGAACGGGAUUAGAUACCCCGGUAGUCCCAGCCGUAAACGAUGGAUACUAGGUGUUGGGGGUAUCGACCCCUCCAGUGCCGCAGCUAACGCAUUAAGUAUCCCGCCUGGGGAGUACGGCCGCAAGGUUG